RNAcentral lists this ribosomal RNA (168 nucleotides) under uncultured bacterium. RNAcentral describes it as "partial 16S ribosomal RNA". It matches the Rfam family "Bacterial small subunit ribosomal RNA", at positions 1319 to 1500 of the family's 1533-position model. The record is from RNAcentral.
CAUGAAGCUGGAAUUGCUAGUAAUCACAGGUCAGCAUACUGUGGUGAAUACGUUCCCGGGCCUUGUACACACCGCCCGUCACACCAUGAGAGUUGAGAAUACCCGAAGCCCAUGUCAAAGUGGUCGAAGGUAGGCUUGAUGAUUGGGGUGAAGUCGUAACAAGGUAAC